This is a long non-coding RNA of Neogale vison (American mink), 1036 nucleotides long. RefSeq lists it as uncharacterized. The transcript is spliced from 3 exons. NCBI's taxonomy places the organism in Eukaryota, Metazoa, Chordata, Mammalia, Carnivora, Mustelidae. The record is from RefSeq and is a predicted model, not a curated record.
GGUGUUUUGGGUUAAGCUUGGGGCCUGGUGUCGCUAGAUCGGCCUGGGGGCCUCUGGCAGCUAAGGGCUAGAUGAGGGGCUCCAGCCAGUCAGACCCUAGCCGUCUGGCUUUCAGCCUUCAAAAUAUCUGGGUGGCCAGCGCCUAAGCAUUUUGGAGCAUGCCUUGUUUUGUUGUGGUUUGGAUCCUGCACCUCUCCCACUUUUCUUACAGUGUUGUACUGUGUUCCUGUAGUCGUUGAUGCUCAGGAUCCUAUUUGAGGUUAGGUUGGGCUUGUUUUCUUGGGUCUGGUGGGAUUUGUGCAACAGGUGAAAUUUUGGAAAGUCUGAAGGGCAAUAUCCCGAGUGUGGUCUGUCUUGUUUUCGGUGUGAGAAACUGCGUGAGUGGUGAACGUGCCACUGAACGUGUGCCUCACCUUCUCUUACAUGUGGUGAACCUUGCCCCUGUUUCCUAAUGCCCACAGGCAGUGUUCCGCAGUUCCUCCUUAUGAAAUGCCUUUCUGUUAACUUGGAUGUGUUCUUAAACCUUUGUGAGCCUCUGGAAGACUGCUUUGCAGUUGGUCGUAGAACAGUAUUGUAGAACAGUAUUGCAAAAAAUGAAUGUGAAACAAAUACCACCAUUACAAUUACCCUUAGUUCUAGGUAUAAGCCCUUUCACCUUAGUGGUGCUGUGGAGUGGUUUGGGUACUUAAGGGAAUUAGAUUUGCUUUUAGAUGCUUUACCUUACUCUUGGCUCCCAGGGUUCCUCUGCCUGUUGGUACACUUUGAUCUUAACUUGUUUUUCCAUACUCUCUUAGCUUGAGUCAAAAUGGGACACUGUGUACUGACAUGUAACUGCAUGUAUCAGAAUCUCAGGAUUACACCAACUUGCAAAGCAGAGAGCCCUUCUGGACAUUUGUGAGUAGACACAUCUCCAAGAAAUGACAAGUUUUACUUGAAGACAGUAUUACUUCUUGCCUGACACUCAUGAGAUGCAGAUCUGUGAAAUUUUUAUGAAGACCGUAUAAGAAGAUAUUUUUAAAUUGAUCUGAAAGAAUAG